This 200-nucleotide ribosomal RNA is filed under the name uncultured bacterium. Its description in RNAcentral is "partial 16S ribosomal RNA". It matches the Rfam family "Bacterial small subunit ribosomal RNA", at positions 30 to 216 of the family's 1533-position model. The record is from RNAcentral.
AUUGAACGCUGGCGGCAGGCCUAACACAUGCAAGUCGAACGGCAGCACAGUAAGAGCUUGCUCUUAUGGGUGGCGAGUGGCGGACGGGUGAGGAAUACAUCGGAAUCUACCUUUUCGUGGGGGAUAACGUAGGGAAACUUACGCUAAUACCGCAUACGACCUCGGUGAAGACAGGGACCGUCGGUCCGUUCGUCGCUAUC